RNAcentral lists this ribosomal RNA (648 nucleotides) under uncultured bacterium PENDANT-27. RNAcentral describes it as "bacterial SSU rRNA". It matches the Rfam family "Bacterial small subunit ribosomal RNA", at positions 509 to 1145 of the family's 1533-position model. The record is from RNAcentral. Lineage: Bacteria; Pseudomonadati; Planctomycetota; Planctomycetia; Planctomycetales.
CAGCAGCCGCGGUAAUACGAAGGGCGCGAGCGUUGCGCGGAAUGACUGGGCUUAAAGGGUGCGUAGGCUGAUAGGCAAGUGGCUUGUGAAAUCCCAUGGCUCAACGCGGGAAGUGCUUGGCAAACUGCAUGUCUUGAGGUCGGUAGGGGUUGGCGGAACGGUUGGUGGAGCGGUGAAAUGCAUAGAUAUCUGGAGGAACACCGGUGGCGAAAGCGGCUCACUGGUCCGUCUCUGACGCUGAGGUGCGAAAGCUAGGGUAGCGAACGGGAUUAGAUACCCCGGUAGUCCACGCCCUAAACGAUGUACACUAGAUCGUAGACGUUUUCAGACCCCGAGGGUCGAAGCAAAAGGGAUAAGUGUACCGCCUGGGGAGUACGGUCGCAAGGCUAAAACUCAAAGGAAUUGACGGGGGCUCACACAAGCGGUGGAGCAUGUGGCUUAAUUCGAAGCAACGCGAAGAACCUUAGCCAAGGCUUGACAUGGAGGGAUUAACUCCCUGAAAGGGAGGCACACUCUUGGAAAGUAGUGGCACGCGCACAUGUGCUGCAUGGCUGUCGUCAGCUCGCUCUGUGAGGUGUCGGGAGAGCUCGCAUAAGGAGCGAAGCCCCUUUCUUCAGUUGACAGCGGGUAGAGGCAGGCACUCUGGCC